CUACUUCCGCUGAUCCAAUAUAUGGUGCAGGUAACCGAGUGUGCAUUGAUUGAUAUGCCGCGAUUAUGCAUACUGUAGCCUGAAGUGAGAGGUGCUCACAAUGGAUUCUUCCUUGCUGGGCCAGGUGAUCGCCCAUCGGGGUGUGGCCCUGGCACGGUGCCUACAGACGGAACAAGAAGGGAAGUUGCCACCUGGACUUGUAGAACAUGUGGAAAACCAGAGGUUUCAACCAGCGGAGUCAGAGAUAAAAGAUGAAAGAUUUAUUCAGUCGCUCAACCGUUUCAUCGCCAAAAAGGCUGACCUUCUGUUCAGGAGGGUCGAUGAGGAGGUCAUAGUCGUUCCCAACAAACACAAGUUUGAAGACAACUACGCCAUCAUGCCUGCCCUGGAGUCUUUCAUGGGGAUACCAGCACACGUCUGUAAAGAACAUUUCUUCAAUGGUCUGGAGAAGCGUGAGGUGGUGAUCGGCGUGGUCACAUCAGUGCUGGAGAGUGGCUUGCUGGUAUCUCUGCUGUGUCUGGACUCGGGUCGGGCUCGUGACAUAGACGACUUGAAGAUCAUUGUAUUCUGCCCAGUCAAAGAAGUGCCAAAGAUUGUUCCUGACCAGAGUGCUCUGGAGUCCUUUCAUGCUAAAGAUAUUGUGAGAGGGAUUGUGCUCAAUGUGAAUCCAGAGACACAGAGGAUCAUCAUUUCACUGCAUGAGAAGUCGCUCAACCCUGGAGACCCCAACAACCCUAAACUGGGCCUCAUCAGUGAAGACGACUUCCCUGUACAUUACAGACGGAAGCUGCACGUGCGCGGUCUGACGUUUGACGAGCUCCUGCAGUCCAUCAUGGGUUUCAACAACUCAGGAAACGUGGAGUACCUAGUGAAACUACACAACCUGAAGGACUGCUCCCUCAUGAGGGGCAUUCACAAUUUGAAGCUGCCGGAGAAAGAAUAUGCUGAGAAUCUGCGCAAGUGGCAAUGUCAGAGGCUGGCCCUACAGAGUGUGGCCCAGGGCGUGUCGCUGUUCAAGAAAGGGAGGCAGAUGGAAGCCAUGCAACACCUGAACAAGGCUCUACAGAUCGACGAGAACAACGUGGAGGCUCUUGUGGCUCGAGGAGCAUUGUAUGCCAACAAUGAGAGUUUCACCAGAGCAGUUGAAGACUUUGAACAGGCUCUCAAGAUCAACCCCACCCAUGCUAACGCCAGGAAGUAUUUGCUGGAGACCAAGCUGGCUCAUGGAAAACUAUUUGAAGAUGAGAAGGAUUAUUUGUCGUCGCUGGAGUGUUAUCGCCAGGCUGUAGCUCUUGAUCCCACCAGUGAUGAGGCCUUGACCUUUCUGAGAUCUUUGGAGCACAGGAUGGUCACCACUGGUGUGUCACCCCAACGAGGCCGUUCCCAAGGUCAUUCUCGAGACAGCAGAGAUGAGUCGGCAGAAGAGUGCAGGGAAUUGUCUGGACGCAGACGUAGAGAAGAGUCACCCCGACGACACAGGGACUAUUCACCACGGCGACAGAGAGACGGGUCGCCCCGUAGUCGGCACGAUGAGUCUGUCUUCGAAAAGACAACCGAUAAAUUAAGACGUCUGAUAGAGGAAGAACAGGACAACAGGAGAGAUGAAAGGAAAAGAAAGUACAAACCCACGAAUGAAUCACCACCAAAAUCAAAACUCCGUUGUGAUAGGGAGGAGAGGGAAGUCGACUCCCAGAGACAUUGGGGCUACAGCCACGUAGCAGAUAACCCUUACGCUAGCAUUUUCAACAAAGACGUGUCCAUACCCUGUUUGGGGUCUCCAGAUGCUCAGCCAAAGGAGCCAAGACAUGCUCUAGAAUCAAGUGCAUUUCCAGAAGGAUUUUGCAAUCCACAAGAUCCCAACUUUGUUCCUAAAGCUCGAAAACCUCGAGAAGAGUUUGCAGGAGGAAGAAUGAUAGUACCCACUGAUAGUGAUAGUGAUAGACAGCAAGCUUGGGGAGAACUGAAACUAAGGAGGAUGUCCCACGGAGAUUCCUCCCCGAGUGAGCUUGAUCAGAGUCACAGCCCAAAAAGCACCAAAUCCUCCAAGAGUCCUUUUGAUGAAGAAGCCUUCUUGUAUGGUGAGAGUGAAAUAGACACUUUGCAGAGAAAAUCUCAACGAAUUUUGAAAGGCCGACGGUCGAAUGAUUGGGAAGAGAGAGAAAUGAUGAUAAAAGAAGGGGAUGAUAAAAAGUGUAGAAACUACUAUUUGGAGGACAUGGAACUUAAAACCCAUUCCUCUGUUUCACCUGAAUGGGAGCAUGUGAAGGUGGGCAAGGUUGUGAGACUGGAAUCCCCAAACUUUAAGAAGGGAAAGGGGAAAGGUAAAGCCCGUAAGUCCAGAAGCUCCAGCUCAGAAUCCAGUUCAGGCUCUACUUCCACUUCCAGGUCCAGUUCUAGUUCUAGUUCAAGUUCCUCUUCCUCAUCUUCUUCCUUUGAAGACAAACCCAAGGGGGAUUAUUACGAAAAACAUGGUGUUUCUAUACCCAAGGGAAUUCGAACAGAUGGAAGUUUCAUGGAAAAAGACUACCACAGAUCAUAUGCAGAUGGGAAAGGAAAGAAAGAAAAAGGAAGGGACUCCAGUGCAAGAAAACAUGCCAAGUCAGCAAAAUAUUCUGAUGAAAAGGACAAAUUAUCGAAGCCAAAGAACCAAGGCAGACAUGACUCCAAAGGGGAAGGGAAAACAGGAAGGGAUGACAGGGGUUCUAGUAUUGAAAGAAGUAGCUCAAAGAAGAAGGCAGAGAUCGAAACAAAGAAGAUGCCUGACCGAGGGAAUGAAGAUGACAAGAGGAAGAAACUCAAAGCAUCUGUGGAACCCUGUACUUCGAAAGAAAUAUCAAUGCAAGGAUCUGGAAAUGAGAGAAGAUCUACUUCAAACGAACGAUGGACCCAAGGAUCCAAAAGAUCCAAAUCGCCAGAGAAGGUGCUUCAAGACUCCAGUGUGUCUUCCCUCAGUGAAAAGUUAGAGAAAGCUCAAGGGGAGGAUCUUCCUGUUACCAUAGGUGGGUUUGGGAAGAUUGAUGAGUUGCCAAGAGGUGUCAGCAAGGAUGAAGAAGCUUUACAGUCUCAUCUGUCCAGCAGAUCUCUGUUUCAUGUGGCCUCCAAGUGGGACGACUCACCACCCGUCGACAUCAAGAUCAAACCAGAUGGGGGGAAGUAUGACAAUAUUCAGAUCAGUAUAACCACCGGUGGGAAGUCUGCCACUCCAAAUGAUCCAAGUGGCAUUCAUAUCUUUUCCGGGAAACAGUUGUCAAAGUAUCGGGCUGAUAAGCAUGUGGAAGAGAAUGAGUCAGAUGAUGAUGAACUUGAGCGAUUGUUCCUCAAGGAGAAGGGUCUGCAGAAAGAUCUCAAGGGGAAGAAGCAAGGAGCCAAAGACAAGAUGCAAGAAGCUCCACAGAAAAGUUUUUCUCAGUCUUUCGAAGAAGAGAAGUUUUCAAGACGUGAUUCAGAAGGAAAUUCAGAAAGGAGAGACAGUAAGGGCAGACAGGAUGUACCCAAGGAGAGGUCAAGGUCUCAAAGGAAAGAUAAUACUGUGUCCAGCAAAGGGAAGAGGAAGAGUUCUACAGUUACGGGCAACUAUGAUGAGGAUGGGCACAGCGAUAACUACAGCAAUGACUAUAGUUUUGACGAAUAUAAAACUGAUCGUUAUCGUGAUGAAAGGGAUAAACGUGACUCUUAUCAUCAUGAUGAAUAUCGUCACCAUAGUCACGAUGAUUAUGAAGAUGAACAUCACGAUCGUGACAAAUGGCGUGAUAGAUAUGAUGAUGAUCGACGAAGUCGGUAUGAUGAUGAUCAUCAUCGCAAAGAAUAUUCUCUUGAAAAGCGAAGGGGGAAUGAACGGAAUAGAGGCAAGGAUUUGUAUGAUGAUGAUAGUUAUGAUUACACUAGACAAGACUGUCGACCACGCAUAGGGAGAAAUCGGCAAUGUGAUAGAUACUGUAGAAAGAAUCACUGCGAAGGUACCAGAGGAAGUAGAGACAGGAGUAGAUCCCGUAGUCCACCAAGGCGGAGGUCAAGGUCAUACACAUCAUCAUCAACAUGGUCGUCAUCCUCAUCCUCCGCCUCAUCAAGGAGCCGGUCAAGAGAAAGAUCACCGCCAAGAAAACCCCCUUCCAAAGGCAACAAGACAACCCUCACCAAAGCAAACAUUGAAGAAAGAAGAACCGUCACAGAAAAUAAAUACCUUGGCCACAAAGCCAGCAAUACCCAGCACUGUUGUAGCGGCUCCGAUCGCAAUGGAUGCAGCAGUGCCUGUGAUAGAGGCAGAUGCUGAGGCAAUGACUGAGGAGAAGAGGCAAUCGCUAAGGGAGCUGGAAUCCUUUCUCACUGACCUCAAAGACAGGAAGAAGCAACAGUGGAUUGCUGAGGGAAAAGUGAAGACUACCGUUUGAGUGAACAUACAAUGUUUCAAGUUUGGUUUAACAAUCAACUUGUACUUAAGACGAUGUAAGUGAGGAGUCUGAAGUAAGAACUUAAUUCAUUGUUAUGGCUUUAUUUUCUACCUAUCUUGAUAAUCAUGAUUAUCACAAUUAAGAAAAUAGAAAUUAUGAAUUGUUUCACUUGCUUAUCCCGAUGAAUGACUGAUCAGUGAUAUGUAAUUGAGUUUUGAUUAUUUAGCACUCGAAGCGAUCAAUUUUGUUGCAAUAAUGAGGACAAUUGUUUUGGUUUUUUACAAAAAAUCCCACUACAAUCAGCACUGGAUCUAUGGUGUUGGAUAAUUUUGUGAUUCUAUUACUUCAUGAAAGGACAUUCAGGACUCCAGAA
This 4761-nucleotide unclassified non-coding RNA is filed under the name Haliotis rubra (blacklip abalone). RNAcentral describes it as "serine/arginine repetitive matrix protein 2-like, transcript variant X2". Lineage: Eukaryota; Metazoa; Mollusca; Gastropoda; Lepetellida; Haliotidae. The record is from RNAcentral.